RNAcentral lists this ribosomal RNA (440 nucleotides) under uncultured bacterium. Its description in RNAcentral is "partial 16S ribosomal RNA". It matches the Rfam family "Bacterial small subunit ribosomal RNA", at positions 338 to 795 of the family's 1533-position model. The record is from RNAcentral.
CCUACGGGGGACAGCAGUAGGGAAUAUUGCUCAAUGGGGGAAACCCUGAAGCAGCAACGCCGCGUGGAGGAGGAAGGUUUUCGGAUUGUAAACUCCUUUUUUUAGAGAAGAAAAUGACGGUAUCUAACGAAUAAGAACCGUCUAACUCCGUGCCAGCACCCGAGGUAAUACGGAGGGUGCAAGCGUUACUCGGAAUCACUGGGCGUAAAGAGCGCGUAGGCGGGUUAGCAAGUCUGAUGUGAAAUCGUAUGGCUUAACCAUAGAACUGCAUUUGAAACUGUUAGUCUAGAGUAUGGGAGGGGUAGGUGGAAUUCUUGGUGUAGGGGUAAAAUCCGUAGAGAUCAAGAGGAAUACUCAUUGCGAAGGCGACCUGCUAGAUCAUAACUGACGCUGAUGCGCGAAAGCGUGGGGAGCAAACAGGAUUAGAUACCCUGGUAGUC